GACGAACGCUGGCGGCAUGCCUAACACAUGCAAGUCGAACGAGACCUUCGGGCCUUUUGGCGCACGGGGGCGUACCGCGUGGGAAGCUGCACUUAGGUUCGCAAUACCUCCCCGAAAGGGGUGCUCAUGCCAGAUAAUGUCUUCCGGCCAAAGAUUUUUGGCCUUUGGGUGGGCCCGGGUUGGAUUCGCUAGUUGGUAGGGGAAAAGCCUACCAAGGCGACGAUCCAUAGCUGGUCUGAGAGGAUGAUCAGCCACACUGGGACUGAGACACGGCCCAGACUCGUACGCGAGGGAGGAGAGGGGAAUAUUGGACGAUGAGCGAAAGCCUGAUCAAGCAACGCGGGGUAAGUGAUGAAGGCCGUAGGGUUGUAAAGUUCUUUGACCCGAGACGAUAAUGACGGUACCGGGUGAAUAAGCACCGGCUAACUACGUG
RNAcentral lists this ribosomal RNA (433 nucleotides) under uncultured bacterium. RNAcentral's name for it is "partial 16S ribosomal RNA". It matches the Rfam family "Bacterial small subunit ribosomal RNA", at positions 28 to 507 of the family's 1533-position model. The record is from RNAcentral.